AAUUUGGGACAAUGGGGGAAACCCUGAUCCAGCCAUCCCGCGUGUAUGAUGAAGGCCUUCGGGUUGUCAAGUACUUUUGGCAGAGAAGAAAAGGUACCUCCUAAUACGAGGUACUGCUGACGGUAUCUGCAGAAUAAGCACCGGCUAACUACGUUCCCGCAGCCGCGAUAAUACGUAGGGUGCAAGCGCUAAUCGGAAUUACUGGGCGGAAAGCGUGUGUAGGCGGGUCGGAAAGAAAGAUUUGAAAUCCCAGGGCUCAACCUUGGAACUGCAUUUUUAACUGCCGAGCUAGAGUAUGUCAGAGGGGGGUAGAAUUCCACGUGUAGCAGUGAAAUGCGUAGAUAUGUGGAGGAAUACCGAUGGCGAAGGCAGCCCCCUGGGAUAAUACUGACGCUCAGACACGAAAGCGUGGGGAGCAAACA
Molecule: ribosomal RNA, 422 nt
Filed under: uncultured bacterium
Lineage: Bacteria
Description: partial 16S ribosomal RNA
Rfam family: Bacterial small subunit ribosomal RNA
Source: RNAcentral